CACACGGUGAAUGCCUUGGUGCCAGUAGGCGAUGAAGGACGUGUUUAAGCUGCGAUAAGCCUCGGUGAGCUGCAACCAAGCUCUGACCCGAGGAUUUCCGAAUGGGGUAACCUGUAUGCCUUAAUAGGUGUACGUUCCUCUCUGAAUAUAUAGGAGAGGAUACGCGAACCCGGUGAAGUGAAACAUCUCAGUAACCGGAGGAAAAGAAAGCGAAUGCGAUUCCGUAAGUAGUGGCGAGCGAAAGCGGAUCAGCCCAAACCAGGGGCUUUGCUCCUGGGGUUGUAGGGCUCCGAUGUGGUAUCCUGAAAGUUAGUCGAAGUGGUUGGAAAGCCACUCCAUAGAAGGUGAAAGGCCUGUAAGCGAAAACUGGAUGGAGCCUAGGAUGUCCCUGAGUAAUACGGAACACGUGAAACUCCGUAUGAAUCUGCGCCGACCAUGGCGUAAGGCUAAAUACUAACUGGCGACCGAUAGUGAACUAGUACCGUGAGGGAAAGGUGAAAAGUACCCCUUUGAGGGGAGUGAAAUAGUACCUGAAACCGUGUGCCUACAAGGAGUGGGAGCCUCUUCGGAGGUGACCGCGUGCCUUUUGCUUAAUGAGUCUACGAGUUAGUGUCUGUGGCAAGCUUAAGCGCUUUUGGUGCGUAGGCGUAGCGAAAGCGAGUCCGAAUAGGGCGACCAUAGUCGCAGGCGCUAGACCCGAAACGGAGGUGACCUACCCAUGGCCAGGUUGAAGCAUCGGUAAAACGAUGUGGAGGACCGAACCGGUACAGGUUGAAAACUGUUCGGAUGAGCUGUGGGUCGGAGUGAAAGGCUAAUCAAACCCCGUGAUAGCUGGUUCUCCUCGAAAUGCAUUUAGGUGCAGCGUCGCGUGCUUACCCUCGGGGGUAGAGCACUGAAUGAGCUAGGGCCCAUACCAGGGUACCAAACUCAACUAAACUCCGAAUACCGGGGGUGGAACGCGGCAGUGAGACUGCGGGGGAUAAGCUUCGUAGUCGAAAGGGAAACAGCCCAGAUCAGCAGCUAAGGUGCCUAAAUAGUGCUCAGUGGAAAGGAGGUGGGAUUUCAUAGACAGUGAGGAUGUUGGCUUAGAAGCAGCCACCAUUUAAACAAAGCGUAACAGCUGACUCAUCGAGAGAUCCUGCGCCGAAAAUGAUUGGCGAUAAGCACUAUACCGAAGCUCUGGAUGCACAGCUUGCUGUGCGUGGUAGAGGAGCGUUCUCAACACCUUGAAGCCUUAAGGCGACUGAUGGUGGAGCGUUGAGAAGUGAGUAUGUAGACAUGAGUAACGAUAAGCCAGGUGAGAUCCCUGGCCGCCGUAAACCCAAGGUUUCCUGGGCCAUGCUGGUCAUCCCAGGGUUAGUCGGGACCUAAGCCGAGGCCGAUGGGCGUAGGCGAUGGACUAAAGAGGUUAAUAUUCCUCGACUUCCGAACCUUAAACUAGAAGGACGCAUAUUGAAUGAAGACAAGCUUAUUGAAUUGUGAGACGCAGGGUAUCGUCCCGGUCGUAUCUUUUGAAGAUGUGCCAAGAAAAGUUCUAGUGUAUGCUAUGGAACCCGUACCGUAAACCGACACAGGUGGGUGGGUAGAAUAUACUAAGGCGCAAGAGUGAAACCCUGUUAAGGAACUCGGCAAUCUAGCCCCGUAACUUCGGGAGAAGGGGUCCCGGGACUCGUCCCGGGCGCAGUGAAAGGGCCCAUCCGACUGUUUAGCAAAAACACAGCAUUCUGCGAACACGCAAGUGGAAGUAUAGGAUGUGACACGUGACCAAUGCCAAAAGAUUAAGGGGAGGUGUUAGCCUUCGGGCGAAGCUCUGAUCCUAAGUCCUGGUGAAUGUCGGCCGUAACUAUAACGGUCCUAAGGUAGCGAAAUUCCUUGUCGGGUAAGUUCCGACCUGCACGAAUCGUGCAACGAGAUGGGCGCUGUCUCAACAGGGAGCUCAGUGAAAUUGUAUCCGCGGUGAAGAUGCCGCGUACCCGCAGAAGGACGGAAAGACCCUAUAGACCUUAACUGUAAGCUGUCACUGGUUUCUCGAUUUUAAUGCUCAGCAUAAGUGGGAGGCUUUGAACCAUUCCUCUAGGGGAGUGGGGAGCCAUCAGUGAGAUACCACCCUUUAGCAUUGGGGAAUCUAACCUCUAGCCUUUAUCAGGCAGAGGGACCAUGGCAGCCGGUCAGUUUGACUGGGGCGGUCUCCUCCUAAAGAGUAACGGAGGAGCGCGAAG
Molecule: ribosomal RNA, 2219 nt
Filed under: marine metagenome
Description: bacterial LSU rRNA
Rfam family: Bacterial large subunit ribosomal RNA
Source: RNAcentral